This 438-nucleotide ribosomal RNA is filed under the name uncultured bacterium. RNAcentral's name for it is "partial 16S ribosomal RNA". It matches the Rfam family "Bacterial small subunit ribosomal RNA", at positions 339 to 795 of the family's 1533-position model. The record is from RNAcentral.
CUACGGCCGCUGCAGUGAGGAAUAUUGCACAAUGGGGGGAACCCUGAUGCAGCAACGCCGCGUGGAGGAUGACGCAUUUCGGUGUGUAAACUCCUUUUAUAUGUCAAGAAAAUGACGGUAGCAUAUGAAUAAGCACCGGCUAACUCCGUGCCAGCAGCCGCGGUAAUACGGAGGGUGCAAGCGUUACGCGGAAUCACUGGGCGUAAAGGACGCGUAGGCGGGUUGGAAAGUCAGGUGUGAAAUCCUACAGCUUUACUGUAGAACUGCACUUGAAACUUCUAAUCUAGAGUAUGGGAGGGGGAGAUGGAAUUAGUGGUGUAGGGGUAAAAUCCGUAGAUAUCACUAGGAAUACCUAAAGCGAAGGCGAUCUCCUGGAACAUUACUGACGCUAAGGCGUGAAAGCGUGGGGAGCAAACAGGAUUAGAUACCCUCGUAGUC